UUUUUUCUGUUGAAGUCAAAGGGUGAGCUUUGUGCUGAUGUGUUUUUAACACCCCCGAACACUUGUUAUCUCCUCUUUCUGCAAAGAAAGAGCUGGCCGUGGGCUCUGAGCCUUCUACCGGCAACACUUCUAGAAAGGAUUUUGAUGCUACAGUUUUCUUGUUAUUGCAUUUUCAUUGAUAUAGUGAUCCUUUUUAAUGACAAAUAAGACUGAUUUCCAUCUAGGAUGUGGUUUUACAAAGUGUUCAUUUAACUAAAAAGUGUGAAUUGAGGCAAAGAAAAAAACUGAUGCAAAUAGUGGCAGGAAAAUAUUGCCCAGAGGCAAAAAUCCCGAAAAUGGGAAACACAGUGUUUCUAGACAGGACCAGCAGAUCCAGACUGCCUCGGUUCAGAUGCACCUCCUAGCUGUGUGACUUUGGGCAAGCUACUCAACCUCUCUAUGCCUCAGUUUCCUCAUCUGAAAAACAGGGAAAAUAAUAAACCAACCUUAGAAGCCACUAUGAUGAGUGAAUGAGAACAAGGGUCAAGCACUUAGGACAAAGCCUGCCACACAGUAAGUGCUUUGCUAAGGUUCACAGUGAAGAUGAUGACUGUAACGAUGAUAAUGAGGAUGACGGCGGUGUUGGCAGUGAUGAUGAUGGUAGUGAAUAGGCUCAGAAAGAUUCUUGGCCAUUUAAGGUUUAGGUUGGUGGCCCAGAAAGGGUGACUGGGCUUUCUCAUUAAGAAGGGAAAGCAAAUGCUAGAAGUGCACCACACCCAGAAUGUCAAUGAGUCUGGGGAAUGAGAAACAUUUGGUAUCUAGCCACACUGUAGAGUAACAAUCAGUCUCUCUCUCAAUUGUGACAUUCUGCAGAGCAGGCAAGUGUCCUGCUAACAGGAAUAAUGGCCACAUUUGUUGAGUGCUUACUCUGCUCUAGGCUUUGGGUGAGUGCAUUGCAUUCAUUCUCUUAAAGAUUUUGUCCCCGUUCUUCGGAUGACUAAAUUGAGACUCAGAGAAGUUAAAUAGCUUAAGUGCAUGAAGUAGUAAGUGACAGAGCCCACAUGAGAUUGGGGCAGCUGUCGCGUCUGCUUUGCUCCAUUCCACCCUCAGCCUUGUCAUGAAACUCUAGCCAUGGCUGGCUCCUUCUCAUUUGGGUACAGCCCAAAUGUCACUGCUCAGAGGGGGCUUCCUGGGUCAUUCUGUCCCUUUCCCAAACCCUGGCCACUCUCUCUCCUGUGAUGGGACAACCUAGUGGUCAAGGGCCAGACUCUGAAGGCCAGUGCUUGUAUCCCUGUUCUAACUCUUGUUUAAACUCUCUGAAACUCAGUUCCCUCGUCUGUAAAAUGGGAGUGUCAUAGUAACUUACGGGUUUCUUGUGAGUUUUAAAUGUUAUAUUUGAUGCAUAUACAAAGUACUGCAGAUAAUAUCUGGCCUGUAGUAAGCACUCAAUAAGUGCUAGUAUUUAUUGCAUUUCUCCCCUGGAACAUAAAUUCUACAAGAGCAGCACUUUACUUGGCUUUUUUACAACUGUACUCAGUGCCUAGAGCAUAACAGGUGCUCAAUAAACAUUAGCUGAAUGGAAUGAGUGAAUGAAUGAAAGAAUGAAUAUGAUAUAGUUUGGCUGUGUCCCCACCUAAACCUCAUCUUGAAUUGCAGCUCCCAUAAUUCACACACAUCAUGGGAGGGACCUGGUGGGAGGUAAUUAAAUCAUGGGAUAGAGUCUUUCCCAUGCUAUUCUCAUGAUAGUGAAUAAGUCUCAUGAGAUCUGAAGGUUUUAUAAAGGGCAGUUCCCUGAACAUGCUCUCUUGCCUGCUGCCAUGUAAGAUGUGCCUUUGCUCCUCCUUUGCCUUUCUCCAUGAUUGUGAGGCCUUCUCAGCCACGUGGAACUGUGAGUUCACUAAACCUCUCUUUUUCUUUAUAAAUUAUCCAGUCUUGGGUAUUUCUUCAUAGCAGUAUGAAAAUGGACUGAUACAGAAUAUUUACCUCCAAAGCCUAUGUUCUUACUCACUGUACCAAGCUGUCCCCUUGCUGACUUCCUUGUUUUAUGCCCUAUGCCAAGCAUGGUGCCCAGUCUGGUGGGGUUCAGUAAAGGCUGAGCAUAAUUGAGCCUAACAACUGUCCCUUCUUCUCCUGGGGAAGCUACAUUGUGCUCCUGCCCAUGAUGCCAACUUUUUCUAUCCUUCCCUAUCCCUCCACCUGGAAAACUGUGCACAUUUGUACUGUACCUGCUUGCCCUGUCGUAAGCUAGUUUGGGAAUAAUAUGCUGCCACUCCUUGGAUCCUCUUCACAUCAUCACAUAAGAGGAAACAAUUGUCUUAAUUGCCAGGCCCUGAGCAAUCAUUCAAAAGGCAGCAGGAUGAAGCUCUGGUGCAUUCUGAAUGCCUUUGGGGAGUGUUUCCGUGUUGAAUUCUGGAAGGUUUGGGUGUAUUUAUGGAGAGCCUUAGCUGUAUUGAUUUAUAAAGUGCCUAUUUCCAGAAAGGGGUUGGGAAAACCCAUCCUUUGCCCUCUUCUACCAGAAGGAUCCUUCUAAGAUGCCCUUUUAUCUCUCUACCUCCUGAGCUUUUAUGCACCCUUCAAGGCCCAGAUCAAAUCUCACCUGGUCUCUGGAGGCUUCCCAACUUCCCUGGCUGUUAGUUGUUUGUUUUUCUGAUCCAAGCUUAUUUUCUCUUCCUUGUAUUACAUUCAACCUGUUCAUCUAGUCAUUUGUUUAACACACACUGGCUGAACCCCUACUACAUGUCUGGCUCUGUGCUCUUAGAAAGACCAAAGAGAUGACAAUUUUUGCCACCAAAGAACCUUCAAACUGAUGUCCAUCUUUCCUCACAGACUUGUUGAGGCCAUAGAUAUUGUUGCCAACAUUCAGCAGAGGGGCUGACCCAGAGUAGGGGCUCCACCUUGCAGAACAGAGGGCUGAUGAACCGAGUAAGGGAAUGAUGCAUGAAUACUCUGCUCCAGAACAUGGGCUGUGUGUGCAAAAAGAGGGCUUGUGAUCGGCAAUGUCUUUUUCCCUUUGAAUGAUAAAGGGGCUGCUCUCUGUAAGAAAACCAACAUUGCUCAUCAGGCUUUGUAAUACAAUUCACACCGACACUCUUCUUGUAAAAUCCAUGCAUGCUGCAGAAAUUUGUAUUCUUGCCGCUCUGGAACAUGCUGGUGGACUCGAGGCCUGCAUGCUGAUGUUUAAAUGGAGCUGCAAAAGUACUUUUUCCUUUUGCUGACUGGCAUUUGUGCAUUUUCAGUUCAAACUUGCUUCCGGGGUGGGGGAGAGGAGGAGGAAAGCAUCUUCCAUCAGAUAACGUCUUUAUUUUAAGUAUUUCGCAGCCUUUCCACUGCAGCCCACAUGGGCCCCAUGCUUCUGUGGUUGGCAGAGAUCAAUGCAAUCAAUAUUUUUGACUGCACAGCUUUCUAUGACUUACACAUAUUUAAAAGGAUAAAACAUAAUCAACAAUUCUCUGUGUGAACUCAACCAUUCUAAUCCUUAUCUUUGAUUCUUUGGGAUCCAGCAAAUAGGAUAAGUAAGUCCCCAGCAUAUUUUGUCCAAGACUAGGGAGUUCAGCCUGGCAGGAACCUUUUGGUCCCGUGGCCUGGACUACAUGAGCUUCCUUCACUCUGGGAAAUCAGACUGGAAAACUAGACAUUGCUGCAUUUGGGAACAUUGGUGGCCUUUUCCUUGGACCAUUGCCUUUUGCUAAACACCACACUGCUUUCUCACACUGUUAUUAGCUAAAUAAUGAGCUACUGCUCUCAGGGGUAUUUGCUUCUUGAAAAGAACUACUUGAAGCCAGCAUUAAGCCAAAACACUGAAGCAUUAAUGGUGGGAUUGUAGGCAGCUCAUUGAAACAGGGUGUUAUUAAAAAAAAUAAAAGAAACGAUUUAUUGUGAUGACUUUUACCUGGAGCAAUUUCUCCUUAUGAAAAGGAUGAAUGCACCAAAAAAACAGGGAUUGGCAACCUUUUUCUGCAAAGUGCCAGAUAGUAAAUAGUGUCAGCCUUGUGGGUGAUAUGGGUCCUGUAGUAACUACUCAACUCUUCAGUGAGAGCAUGACUCACCCAAAAUCUCUACAUAAAUAAUGAGUUCAGCUUUGAUGAACUUACCCAAAAUUACAUAUUUAACAAAAAACCCAGAAAGUUCUUUUAUUUUCAGUGCACAUCCUUUUUUUUUUUUUUUUUUUUUUUUUUUUUGUCAUUUUUAAACAUAAAAUACUAUUUCGAAAUGCAUGUGGAUAGAAGAGAGGUCAUAGUAACCUGAUCAGUCUUCGGGGCUGCUGAAGAUACUCAUUUAACCUGACCGCACCCCCUGAAUUGUUUCAUCAUUUCUCUGC
This 4297-nucleotide long non-coding RNA is filed under the name Macaca fascicularis (crab-eating macaque). RNAcentral describes it as "lncRNA (ENSMFAG00000058745.1)". Lineage: Eukaryota; Metazoa; Chordata; Mammalia; Primates; Cercopithecidae. The record is from RNAcentral.